AUACGGAGGGGGUUAGCGUUGUUCGGAAUUACUGGGCGUAAAGCGCACGUAGGCGGAUUGGAAAGUUGGGGGUGGAAUCCCAGGGCUCAACCCUGGAACUGCCUCCAAAACUAACAGUCUAGAGUUCGAGAGAGGUGAGUGGAAUUCCAAGUGUAGAGGUGAAAUUCGUAGAUAUUUGGAGGAACACCAGUGGCGAAGGCGGCUCACUGGCUCGAUACUGACGCUGAGGUGCGAAAGCGUGGGGAGCAAACAGGAUUAGAAACCCUAGUAGUCC
This 274-nucleotide ribosomal RNA is filed under the name uncultured bacterium. Its description in RNAcentral is "partial 16S ribosomal RNA". It matches the Rfam family "Bacterial small subunit ribosomal RNA", at positions 523 to 796 of the family's 1533-position model. The record is from RNAcentral.